This 253-nucleotide ribosomal RNA is filed under the name uncultured bacterium. RNAcentral describes it as "partial 16S ribosomal RNA". It matches the Rfam family "Bacterial small subunit ribosomal RNA", at positions 524 to 776 of the family's 1533-position model. The record is from RNAcentral.
UACGAAGGGGGCUAGCGUUGUUCGGAAUUACUGGGCGUAAAGCGUACGUAGGCGGAUUUGUAAGUAAGGUGUGAAAUCUCCAGGCUCAACCUGGGAACUGCCUUUGAGACUGCAAGUCUCGAGUGCAGGAGAGGGGGGUGGAAUUCCACGUGUAGAGGUGAAAUUCGUAGAGAUGCGGAGGAACACCGGUGGCGAAGGCGGCUCCCUGGACCGACACUGACGCUGAUGCACGAAAGCGUGGGGAGCAAACAGG